Small nuclear RNA from Monodelphis domestica (gray short-tailed opossum), 106 nucleotides. Lineage: Eukaryota; Metazoa; Chordata; Mammalia; Didelphimorphia; Didelphidae. The record is from Ensembl.
AUGCUCACUUCUGUAGCACAUACACUAAAAUUGGAACAAUACAGAGAAGAUUAGCCUGAUUCCUCCGUAAAGAUGGCAUGAACAUUAUGAAGUGUUCUAUAUUUUU